UGAUGAACGCUAGCGGCAGGCUUAACACAUGCAAGUCGAGGGGCAGCGCGGGGCGGCAACGUCCUGGCGGCGACCGGCGGAAGGGUGCGUAACGCGUGAGCGACAUGCCCGUUGCCCGGGGACAACCGGUGGAAACGCCGACUAAUCCCCGAUGGGACGGAGGCCCUCAUGGGUCUCUGUUGAAAGUUACGGCGGCGACGGAUUGGCUCGCGUCCGAUUAGCUUGUUGGCGGGGUAACGGCCCACCAAGGCUACGAUCGGUAGGGGUUCUGAGAGGAAGGUCCCCCACAAUGGAACUGAGACACGGUCCAUACUCCUACGGGAGGCAGCAGUGAGGAAUAUUGGUCAAUGGGCGGAAGCCUGAACCAGCCAUGCCGCGUGCGGGAAGGAGGCCCUAUGGGCUGUGAACCGCUUUUGCCUGGGGGCAAUAAGGGCGUCGUGCACGUCCGAUGAGAGUACCAGGCGAAUAAGCAUCGGCUAACUCCGUGCCAGCAGCCGCGGUAAUACGGGGGAUGCGAGCGUUAUCCGGAUUCAUUGGGUUUAAAGGGUGCGUAGGCUGUGCGUCAAGUCAGGGGUGAAAUUCCGGGGCUCAACUCCGGGGCUGCCCUUGAUACUGUCGCGCUGGAGUGCGGAUGCCGCCGGAGGAAUGAGUGGUGUAGCGGUGAAAUGCUUAGAUAUCACUCAGAACACCGAUUGCGAAGGCAUCUGGCGAAUCCGUAACUGACGCUGAGGCACGAAAGCGUGGGGAUAGAACAGGAUUAGAUACCCUGGUAUUCCACGCCGUAAACGAUGAUGGCUAACCGCCGGCGACACACUGUCGGUGGCCAAGCGAAAGCGAUAAGCCAUCCACCUGGGGAGUACGUCGGCAACGAUGCAACUCAAAUGAAUUGACGG
RNAcentral lists this ribosomal RNA (893 nucleotides) under uncultured Bacteroidota bacterium. RNAcentral describes it as "bacterial SSU rRNA". It matches the Rfam family "Bacterial small subunit ribosomal RNA", at positions 26 to 916 of the family's 1533-position model. Lineage: Bacteria; Pseudomonadati; Bacteroidota. The record is from RNAcentral.